Cercocebus atys (sooty mangabey) is the source of this 84-nucleotide small nucleolar RNA. The record is from Ensembl. NCBI's taxonomy places the organism in Eukaryota, Metazoa, Chordata, Mammalia, Primates, Cercopithecidae.
UUGCUCUGGGGAUGCAAAGGAGGGAAAUCCCUGCACUUCCUGUCUGUCUUUUUGGCAGCCCGGAUUGAAUUGAGGACUACAUCU